GAACGAGAAAGUGGAGCAAUCCAUGAGUAAAGUGGCGUACGGGUGAGUAACACGUGGAUCAUCUACCUUCUAGUGGGGAAUACCGUUGGGAAACCGACGACAAUACCGCAUAAGCUCGGGAGAGGAAAGCAGCAAUGCGCUGGAAGAGGAGUCCGCGGUCGAUUAGUUAGUUGGCGGGGUAAUGGCCCACCAAGACUGUGAUCGAUAGCCGGCCUGAGAGGGCACACGGCCACACUGGCACUGAAACACGGGCCAGACUCCUACGGGAGGCAGCAGUGGGGAAUCUUGCACAAUGGAGGAAACUCUGAUGCAGCGACGCCGCGUGAGCGAUGAAGCCCUUCGGGGUGUAAAGCCCUUUCGUCAGGGACGAUUAUGACGGUACCUGGAGAAGCAGCUGCGGCUAACUACGUGCCAGCAGCCGCGGUAAUACGUAGGCAGCAAGCGUUGUUCGGAGUUACUGGGCGUAAAGGGUGCGUAGGCGGCUUUUUAAGUUUGGUGUGAAAUCUCCCGGCUCAACUGGGAGGGUGCGCCGAAUACUGAGAGGCUAGAGUGUGGGAGAGGAAAGUGGAAUUCCUGGUGUAGCGGUGAAAUGCGUAGAUAUCAGGAGGAACACCGGUG
This 618-nucleotide ribosomal RNA is filed under the name uncultured bacterium. RNAcentral's name for it is "bacterial SSU rRNA". It matches the Rfam family "Bacterial small subunit ribosomal RNA", at positions 64 to 714 of the family's 1533-position model. The record is from RNAcentral.